Molecule: unclassified non-coding RNA, 2746 nt
Filed under: Hevea brasiliensis (rubber tree)
Lineage: Eukaryota; Viridiplantae; Streptophyta; Magnoliopsida; Malpighiales; Euphorbiaceae
Source: RNAcentral
CUGUAUGAAAUGAAACUGUUGAUUUUGAGGUCUGAUUUUCUCACUUGUGUAUAUGUUCUGGUAAUUUAUGCUUUCUUGGUUGUCCGUGCACUUGCAAAAUUGAGCUUGGUUAAUAAGAUAUUGCAAAUAUUUUGAUCUUUGUAGAGGUUGUAAGCUUCUUGGCCAACUUUUAGGAAAGGAGAACCGUCAAUCAUCUUUUUGAAUGAAAUAAAAAAAAAAAAGUAAUUAUAAACUUCAACCACAUCUAUCCUUACCCUGUUAUGAAAAUGGAAUGGCCCUAUGGGGCUUUGUAGUAAGCAUUUAUAAUUUUGUAGUUACUAAGGCAACUUAAAAAAGGAACAUUCCUUGUGUUCUUUUCUACAGUGUUUAAGGUUAUGUUCUUGCUAUAAGUAUUUGGAAGGAGACCCAGAGCUCCUCACUGAUGUUAUGAGAAUUCCUAGGAGUUAUCUACCCUGCUCACUCUGGAAAGGGAAAAACUAGCAGGAGAAAAUUCCUAGAAAAGUUGUAUAGUGCUUUCAUUAAACCCCUACCUGGUUUCUUAGGGGGUUGAUAUUGCAUUCUGAGUUUCAAUUACUUUGGUUUCAUUUAAGGUGAUUUAAUAGUCGCCGAGUCAGAUACAGCUAAGUGGCCAAUUGUUUUAUCAGCAGAUUGUUUUCUUGAAGUUUUGGAGAGAGGUUUAUUGGUUUUGUAUAUUUAUUUGUAUUAUUGUGGUAAGACAGACUUGUUACUUUCUAGUUCCUGUUGAACUUUAAAUCAAAAUUUAUGCAUCAGUUACAAUAAUCUGUUUCACCUUUUUUGCUUUAUUUUUGAGUAAUUAUGUAUAUGCAUAUAUUGCAAUAUAUCAAAAGGUGUAGGUUGCAUUCAUAAUGGAGAUGAUUCACAGCUGUGGUUACUGGGUAGAUAAACUAAAUUUAUGUUAGUUUAUGAUCAUUCUGACUAAAUUCAGAAGCCAUAACCUUUUUGAUCUAUUUCAUAAAUAAAGUUGAGUAUCCUACUUAUGUUAUCUGCAUGCUAAUAUCAUAAAAAAUGUUAUUUGCAACUUAAUUUGAACACUAAUAAUUGGUGUCUAGAAAAAUAUUAAGCGAAUUUAGUUUUUAAUCAUUUCCACAAUGAUUUCAUUUUUUUUUCCUUUAUUUGGUACAUUUGGAAAUUCACAAUUCUCAAGAAUUUGAACAGUUGUGAAUUGUUUUAACAAUCAAAUUUUUUAACUACAAGUAAAAGAUUUGCAUUCUGAUAAAAUCUUCAGUCUCAUUAAUAUUUAGGGAUGGAUAGGUAGGGUGUUGGGACUUGGGAGGGUGGGACUUCCAGUUUUUCUAGGCUUUUGUUCCCAAACCUAGGAGACCUUUCCCAAUCGGAUGAUAACUGAUUUUUGUACUCUAGCACUUCCUAUAAUUGAUCUAAGAGGCCUUGUGUAAUGGCACCAAAUUUGCUUUCCUAAUCUAUAUGCAAGAGGGGAAGCAUUCCAUUGUAUAACAUGUCUGCUUGCAAGUCAAAAAGUGUUAAAGAUCUUUGGUUACAUUUGGUACAACAUGAUGUAUUGGAAAGAAUGUAAUCAAGUACGUAAUUGAAUUAAAGUUGUAAUGUAAUGCAAUAUAUUAAGCAUUACAUUAAGAAGAAAAAAAAGCAAUGUAAUUACCAUUACAAUAUCAUGUAUAUAUACUAUAUAUAUCACCAAGUGGUGGUGGCGGCGGCGGUGACGGCGACGAUGGCUAAGUGGUGCUGAUAAUGUUGGUGGUAGUGACGAUGGUGUUUAGGUAGCGGUGGCGAUGGCGGUAAUAGGAUGGGGGUCAUGGUCGUGGCGAGGUGGUGACGGCGGCGGUGGCUAAGCGGUAGUGGUGACAAUAGUGGUUAGGAGGUGGUAGUAGCGGAGGUGAUUGAGUGGUGGUGAUGAUAGUGUUGACCAUAAAUAAAUAAAAUAAAAAUAAAAAAUCUCAACUCUGAAAGGAAAAGUCAUAACAACUCAAAGAAAUUCCAUUAUCAAUGCAGGAUUAGCUAGGCAUAUGUAAUAGAAUUAGAAACAUAUCUCUUUAUGCUACCAGAACUUUAAGCCUGUAAGUAUAACUGUUGUAAUAGUAUUAUUCCUUUCUUCAAAUGGAGAAGGUGGGAAUAUCUUGAUCAAAAGCUCUCCUGUUGAGAAUAGUAAGAAAGAGUUUUAUAAAUUCAAUCAAAAUGGUCAAGAAAAUCACCACCUUUUAGUUUCACAUACUGAUUAAAGAUUAGUCCAGAAAAUUGGGUUUUAAACUAUACACUGAACAUUCUGCAUUGCUACUCCAAAGAACCUUGAGCAAUUUACAGCAUUGUAUAUGAUAAACAUCAUAUUCUCUUUUGUUGUUACCAAUAACCCACAUAAUGCACUGAACAAAAUAAACACUUCAACUGUUAACAAGAAAAAGGGAAGAAUACCUGCAUUACCCAUCCCCUAAUAAGGAUAGAUAUGCAGAGAAAAAAAAAAGAGUAAAAUUGUGGCAGUGCAGAAUCAUAUGUCUAGAAAGAAACACAUUCAGAUUCCAUUGCAACUACAUCUACCUCACAAUAAACAUGAGUGCAUUCCAUCCUAAAAUAUAUUACUAAGAUUCCAAUCAUUGAUGAUCAAGGCAAGUCUAAUAAUGUUCUAAAUCUUAUUUUCAACUCAUCAUAUUUCCAUAAGCAACAAUGCCAAAAAUUAAUCCAAUAUCAAUAACCUAUCAGAUAAAAUGAACUGCAAAAAGAUUUUAUUUUUGAACAAAUGACUAACAAUUGAAGUGCU